GGACCCCAGAAUCAACCAGCCAUGAUCCCUCUGCAACAACAAGCUGCGACUGGACAAGGCCCUACUGGAAACAAUCAAGCUGUACCACCAGGCUCACUGAAUAGAUUUAAGCGCUCCUUCCUCAGAAGGACCACAGCAAGACCACCUGUCUCAAUCACCCAGAUGCCAGCUCAAGUCAACCCUGCUGUGUCUGGAAACCCUGUUGGGUAAAUCUGAGUGAUGCAUGUGUUGAAAUAGCUUAGAUCCUUUCAAGAUAUCUUCUCUUAUCUGCAAUAAAUGUCAUUUUUAAUUUAGAAUAUUCACAGCUAA
Molecule: long non-coding RNA, 309 nt
Organism: Cyprinus carpio (common carp)
Lineage: Eukaryota; Metazoa; Chordata; Actinopteri; Cypriniformes; Cyprinidae
Gene: scpp9
Exons: 5
Source: RefSeq, a predicted model, not a curated record